RNAcentral lists this long non-coding RNA (2254 nucleotides) under Marmota monax (woodchuck). Lineage: Eukaryota; Metazoa; Chordata; Mammalia; Rodentia; Sciuridae. The record is from RNAcentral.
CAUGGGGGCCCCUUCCCAGGAGGCCACAGGGAGCCUGGAGACCCUGUGUCCUGAGUGCUGCCUGCUGGGGAAAAGAGUGUGUCCUGUCCCUCUCCUCCCCCAUUCUGGGGUGCUCCCAGGCUUGUGACUACACUGGUCCCUGACUUCCUUAGCACCUGUGCUACCAGCAUCCUGAGCCCAGGGCUGCUGUCUCCAGCUUUCUAGCAAGUCUAGCUCUGCCUCAGCGGCGCAGCCUGCAGCCGCCUGCAGCCAUCUGGUCUCCCAGGCGCCAGGCUGCUGCCAGCAGAAGGAGAUAAAGAACAAAGUGGUGUUGAGAGUAGCUCCCCGGGCCUCUGGCCACCCUUCCCAGAGCCCCCUCCUUCUGAGGCCUGGGCCAAGGCAUGUUGGGCUAGGAGGUGGUACAGCCCUAAGAUUAAGUUUUAGGUCCUGAGUAGAAGGAUCUCUUUCCCUGAAAUGUAUCUUUCCAACCCCCUUCCCAGUGCUUGAACCCUUGGCAGGUUGUGGGAGUUUUUUUUUUUUUUUUUUCCUUGCACGGGUCUCCAAGAAAAGCAGGCUCCAGCAUAGCAUACACUGGGCCUGGGUUUCAGUCCCCAGUACCACACACACACACACACACACACACACACAGAGCUGAUUUUUAAGCAGAGUCUGUGGAGGUAGCACUGUGUGUGGCCUGGGGUGUGUCCGUGUGACAGAUACAUAGUCAUGGGAUUUGUGUGGGGGGUGCGUGUGUGAAGGUAGCCUGGUGAGGCCUGGGAGUAGGGGCUUUUACCUGUGGGUGUAGAUGAGACACAUUUGUGUGGUGUUUGUGUGGGCAGUGUGAAUCUGAGCGAGUCUGUGUGAGGUGAGAAGAGAGAACGAGACAUUUACAGAGCCUGUCACUUCCUUCUAGGCUAUGAGUGAGUGGACCCUCACUCAUUGGGUGCCCCCAUUGAAGGUUUUAAGGGACUUGUCUAACACUGGAGAACAGAGCAUGUAUACUGUUGAGGGGGUUCCACAUUCCACCACUCCCCUCUGAGAGCUGGUCCCAUGACCCUGGGGCUAGGUGCUAGUGUCAAAAGAAAAUAAAGUUGGGUGCGAUGGCGCUUAUGAUCCCAGCAACAUGGGAGGCUGAGGCAGAAGGAUUGCAAGUUUGAGGCUAGCCUGAGCAAUUUGGUGAGUCCUGUCUCAAAAAAUAAAAAGGUGGCAGAGUGGGCUCACCCCCAGUACCACAAAGAAAGAAAGAAAAAAAAAGAAAACAAUAAAAGCAGAUCUAUAUUUGCAUGUAGGGCCUUCCACCCUGCUUUCUGCUUUUGGAUAACCUUGAAUGGUCCCUUGAGUUCCACAGGGAGUGUCCACACCUCUGGCAGCACUGGAGGGAGGUGGUAAGGACCAAGUUCUUACGUCCUGGUGGGGGCCACCCCACUACACCUGGAAGAACCUGAGAACUGAGGUCCUGCGUGCCUCCCCAGGAAAUGACCCUUUCUCCUGCCUUGGAGCAGGGGGAUGGGCACGCUGUGCCGUCCCGGGUCCCCCAGCCCACUGGUGCCGAUCUACAGCAAGCAUUUGGUUUCCAUUUCCCAGCUCAUUAGGGGAGAUCAAGCCCUGAUGGGCUGGGGGCUGGGUUUUCCCCCCCCGCUGGCAAGAAGGCAGGUGGGGGAAGGGAGGAAACACGGAGCGUUGAACUGACUCUCCUGGAUUCGGGCAGCAUAAUCCCCGGAGGGAUGGCCAAGCCUUCAGCCUGUUCCCCAUCAAUGUUCUGAGGUUCAGCGGCUGCCACCCCUUCGGCUCCUUGCAGGAAAAGCCCAUUGUCCCAACCCCUUGGCUCUGAGAGCCAGAUUUUGCCACCAAGCUGCUCCAGGAAUGUCAUGAGGCAUGUAGGAUUUGGGGUGUCUGCUCAGCCCCCCCUUUCCGGAGGGUAUAUGGCUAUGUGGUUAAUGACCCUGAAACAUUUCCAGCCACAGAAACUCCCCCUGCAUUCCAGGCCCCUGUGGCAGUGUCACCUCUGACCCAGAAGUGGCUGGAUGGAGCUGGGAGGCUGCAGCAGCUGCCUUCUGGGUCCUCACGGAAGAGGGGGAAAAGGGGGCAGUCUGUGGUUGUGAGGGAAGGACGACAGGAAGGAAGGGAUUCAAGAGGGAGAAGGAGGUAAGCAGAGGAGGGUCAGCGGAGCCGGUGGCUUUGUCAUACCCCUGGGGGUGGACAGAUAUCACCCUGGCCAAUCAAGGGUCUCAUUAGAUCCUCACUAUUGGAGUGACCUGUCCUCUCUGUGUCUGAG